UUUUUUUGCUUUCAGAAAAUAACGAGUUUCACAUACGAAUCAUGAGCCUCUACAUCAUCUAAUACUAGGUAUCAAAAGAAUCACUGCACUGAUACGGGAUCAGACCUAAAUAUAUUGUCUAAUCUAUAAAAGA
This 133-nucleotide small RNA is filed under the name Arabidopsis thaliana (thale cress). RNAcentral's name for it is "ATSL195340". Lineage: Eukaryota; Viridiplantae; Streptophyta; Magnoliopsida; Brassicales; Brassicaceae. The record is from RNAcentral.